Molecule: ribosomal RNA, 261 nt
Filed under: uncultured Vannella
Lineage: Eukaryota; Discosea; Flabellinia; Vannellidae
Description: partial Bacterial large subunit ribosomal RNA
Rfam family: Bacterial large subunit ribosomal RNA
Source: RNAcentral
AGGCAGAAAUGCGUAGUCGAUGGAAAACAGGUUAAUAUUCCUGUACCGGUUGUUACUGCGAUGGGAUGACGGAGAAGGUUAGGUUAGCCAACUGUUGGAUAUGUUGGUUUAAGUGUGUAGGCGUGCUUUAUAGGAAAAUCCGUAGAGCUAAGCUGAGGCAUGAUGACGAGUCUCAAUGGAGACGAAGUAACUGAUACCAGGCUUCCAGGAAAAGUCUCUAAGCUUCAGGUAACAAACGACCGUACCCCAAACCGACACAGG